GGCAUGGUGGCUUAGUGGUUAGCACGUUUGCCUCGCAUCUCCAGGGUUAGAGGUUUGAUUCCUGCCUCUGCCC
This is a non-coding RNA of Pangasianodon gigas (Mekong giant catfish), 73 nucleotides long. NCBI's taxonomy places the organism in Eukaryota, Metazoa, Chordata, Actinopteri, Siluriformes, Pangasiidae. The record is from the annotation of a GenBank genome assembly.